ACUCUACCCAGGGCAACAGAGCAAGAUUCUGUCUCAAAAAAAAAUUAGCUCAAGUCAAGAAAAAUGCAGAUUCUUAGGUCCACUUUCAAUCUAAUGACUCAAACUCCCUGGGGGCAGAUUUUUCUGUCCUUUAAACAAGUUCUCUAGGUGAUUCUUAAGCCCAAGCUAAGUUGAGAAACUCUGGAAGUAGGGUCUCAGUGACAAAGCACUGACAAGAAGGAGGCACCAUGUUUGUCAGAAGUGACUGGCUUAGCUCCACACUUUCUGGAUCAGCCCUGCCUCCCGAAAACCCUCCACUCAGGAGAGCCAUGGUAGCUGCAGGACCGUAGGGCAGGCUGGGAAUGACUCAUCUGCACUUAUUUAUCCACAGUCACGGCCCGAUGGGAAAGGGCUGGCCCCCACAGAGUCCCUUGGCAUAUGGAUAUGGGUGUGAGGAGAGGCUGGUGCCUCCAGAGCUGGCACUGAGGAGGCCGAGGCCUCACCCUUACUUCAGUCACUCCACACACCCCGUAGUCACAACCCCUUGUUCUACAGAGGAAGGGAAAAAAAACAAAAAAGGGAUUUUUCCAGUGUCACAUGGCCACUGAAGAGCAGGGCUGAAGCUCCAGCCCCAGCCAUGCUUUUGCCAUCACAGCCCAGCUAGUGAAUCUUAGCCCCAUCCCUCAAAUGCCAGGGACGUUUUCUACUUUACAACUGUUCCCAGCAUACUACAUGCAGGGAAGAACUAAAGUCCUUGAAUUCAAGUAGUCCAGAUGGGAAAAUCCAGUUUUUAGGGUGAAGUCUUUUCCAGGUGAUCUCCCUUUCUAAGUCUUCAUUGCCGUGAGCCACUCACAGGAGGAUUCCUACGAGAAGCAGCCCUCUCAGUGCAUCUAACACAGGACUUUGGAGCUCAGAAUUCAGUUCACACUCCCUUUCUCGAGCAGCCACCCGUGGGACAGACUCUGGCCCCUGGACGUGUUCCAUCCCACAAGACGGCACAUAAGCUAGGAAGUAAUUCAGUUCACAAGGUCAAAGAUCUCCUGGCCGCAUCCUGCUCCUGUGUCGACUCAGCCUUGUUCCCCUGAUAGGGCCGUAAGCACAGCAUCAGACCUCCGGCCUCUGCUGUGUGACCUUGGAUUUCUGCAUCUCUGUCCUUUGCCUUAAGUCUUAAAAAGCCUUGAAAGGCUCACAGAUCAACAGGAGCAUGCAGUACCAUGCUGGAAUGCUGGGAGUUAGGAGGUCCCUGCCUGUUAAUGCAAAGACUGGUUCCUGCUGACGCAGCACUCCAGGCCAAGCAACAGAUGGUCUUCUAGGCACAAGUCUGAGUAAACUCAGGUACCACAAUCCCCUGCCAGGAUCCCAGCGGAGAGGCAGGGCAGAGCCUGGAUUCUGUCAAGUUGUUGAGGGUGCUAACGGCUCUUUCUGUGCUAUUAGAUGUAGGCACAGAAUCCCAUCGUUGAGGUAACCAACUGCCCGCCCUGGUCUAAUUGAAAGCUCUGCUUCCUGGAAAACCCCAAAACUUGAGGCAAACUGGGUCAAAGGGUCACCUUAUAUCGAGCUGUGUCCAACCAUGGCCAUACAUAAACAAAAUGCCCUGGUCUGAAAUGUGAUAGAGGUGGUAACAGCAAAGAACAAGUCCUUAAUCCUGGUUCACAUACUCUACAAGGAUAUGACUAAGUCUAGUUCUGCAAGCAGGUCAGUCUUAUAACACAUUAAUUCUAACUGGACGAUCUAUUUCACAACUAAGACAACUUUAUAAACUGUGCUAUAAUUUACAAAGGUCAUUUUUUAAUCCCAUUCUUUUGACUAUCCUGAAGAUGUUUUAUGAGAUACUCAUAAAUAUUACCAUUGAGGCAUAUAUAUGGCAAUGGUGGACUUAAUUCUGCAUAAGACUUAAAGUACUUCACUUUUAAAACCUUACAAAAAGAUUCCCAAGAGUCUAAGUAGUAAAAUAAGCCACAAGUGCAUUAGCAGCAUUGUAGACAUAAAAAACUUUAAUAUCCCACUCACAAGCCUGCUGAGGAUACAAACUAGUCACCCCUCGGUGACCAUGGGGCAUUGGUUCCAGGA
This is a non-coding RNA of Microcebus murinus (gray mouse lemur), 2049 nucleotides long. The record is from RefSeq and is a predicted model, not a curated record. Lineage: Eukaryota; Metazoa; Chordata; Mammalia; Primates; Cheirogaleidae.